AUAUUGGCGAGAGACCGAUAGCGAACAAGUACCGUGAGGGAAAGAUGAAAAGAACUUUGGAAAGAGAGUUAAACAGUACGUGAAAUUGCUGAAAGGGAAACGCUUGAAGUCAGUCGCGUCUGCCAGGGAUCAACCUUACUUUUGUGAGGCGUACUUCCUGGUUGAUGGGUCAGCAUCAGUUUUGGUCGCUGGAUAAAGGUCAGAGAAAUGUGGCACCUUCGGGUGUGUUAUAGUCUUUGAUCAGAUACAGUGGCUGGGACUGAGGAACUCAGCGCCGCAAGGCUGUCUUAGGAUGCUGGCAAAAUGGCUUUAAUCGACCCGUCUUGAAACACGGACC
This 337-nucleotide ribosomal RNA is filed under the name uncultured fungus. RNAcentral's name for it is "LSU rRNA". It matches the Rfam family "Eukaryotic large subunit ribosomal RNA", at positions 320 to 667 of the family's 3401-position model. The record is from RNAcentral. Lineage: Eukaryota; Fungi.